AGUUUGCUGGAAGCAAAAUCGUGCCACGAUCUUGGGAAAUCGUGACACGAUUCAGACACUUGUUGGUUAAGUUUCUCUGAUAAGGACUGGUCAACCUGGGGACCGUUGCAGAUCGUGACACGAUCUAGGGUAAUCGUGACACGAUUUCUUCAGGGCAGGACUUGUAUUUAAAGUGUUCUUGUGCUUUUUUGAAGACAACCUUGAGAGAGCUUAAGAGAGAAAACUUGGAGAUCAAAGAUGGGAUCCUUUGGGGUGUGUUCCUUUGAUGAGAGUGUAUCUUAGGUUGGGAAAACAACAUUGUAAUCACCUUGGGAUUAUGGGUUCAUAGUGUGAGGAUGGGAAAAUGCCAAAGGGUAGAUCUAGGGUUUUUUGUCUUGUGUAAAGCUUGAUAAGCUAGAUUCUUGUAACUCUUUUGUAACACAUUCACAUAUUGGAUUGGAGAGCUGCUCUCUCCCCCAGAUUAGGCCACAUUGGCUGAACUGGGUCAACAAUCUUGCUCGGUGUUUGUUUGUUUUCUUUUAUCGUUUAUCUUGUAUGCUUGUUAGCUCUUAGUGUGGUUUUGCUUUACAUUAGGCUUAGGAUGUUUUGUUGUUGUUAGCUUGGAGGCCAUUUGCACUCAUAGAUUAUCUCUAUCACUUGCUCCACACAUCAUUGAUUUAUUCUCAUUGGUGUGAAGGUUCAUUAGUUGAGCCGAAUUCACAACAAUUGGCGCCCACCGUGGGGCAUAGGCGUGAUUGAUAGGAGGUAUCAUGGGGUCAAAGUGGGACAUCGAGAAGUUCACUGGAAGUAAUGAUUUCGGGUUAUGGAAGGUUAAGAUGCAAGUGGUAUUGACACAACAAAAGUGUGUAGAAGCAUUGAAGGGUGAAGCGGCGAUGCCGGCAACCUUGACACAAGAGGAGAAGCGUGAGAUGGUAGACAAGGCAAAGAGUACUAUUGUCUUAUGUCUCGGAGAUAAAGUCUUAAGGGAUGUCGCGAGGGAAGCUACCGCGGCAUCAAUGUGGGAAAAGUUGGAGUCAUUCUAUAUGACAAAAUCUUUGGCUCAUAGGCAACUCUUGAAGCAACAACUCUAUUCAUUUAAGAUGGUGGAGUCUAAAUCGAUCUCGGAGCAACUAACGGAGUUUAACAAGAUUCUUGAUGAUUUGGCCAACAUUGAGGUUAACAUGGAAGAUGAGGAUAAGGCUUUGUUGUUACUUUGUUCAUUACCAAAGUCCUUUGAGCAUUUCAAGGAUACCAUCCUUUAUGGUAAGGAGGGCACUACUACUUUGGAGGAGGUCCAAGCGGCUUUGAGAACCAAAGAAUUGACCAAGUUCAAGGACAUGAGGGUUGAUGAAGGUAGUGAAGGCUUGAAUGUUACAAGAGGGAGGAAUGAGCAUAGAGGAAAAGGCAAAGGGAAAUCAAGAUCCAAGUCUAGGUCCAAGGGCUUUGACAAAUCAAAGUAUAAAUGCUUUCUUUGUCACAAGCAAGGUCAUUUCAAGAAAGAUUGUCCGGAUAAGGGGGGCGAUGGUAGUCCUUCAGUUCAAGUUGCGGAGGCUUCGAAUGAAGAAGGUUAUGAGAGUGCGGGUGCGCUAGUGGUAACAAGUUGGGAACCGGAGAAGAGUUGGGUUUUGGACUCGGGAUGCUCUUAUCACAUGAGCCCUAGAAAGGAACAUUUUGAGACUUUGAUUCUAAAAGAAGGAGGAGUUGUUCGACUCGGAAAUAACAAAGCUUGCAAAGUCCAAGGCAUGGGCAACGUUCGUCUAAAGAUGUUUGAUGGCCGUGAAUUCCUUUUAAGGGAUGUGAGGUAUGUUCCCGAACUUAAGCGAAAUUUAAUUUCCAUAAGCAUGUUUGAUAAUCUAGGUUAUUGCAGUAGAAUAGAGCAUGGGGUUUGUAAAAUUUCGCAUGGUGCAUUGAUUACGGUAAAGGGGUCUAGAAUGAAUGGUUUAUACAUUUUAGAUGGUUCUAUAGUAAUUGGUAAUGCAUCGGUAGCUAGUGUUGCAUCUCAUAAUAAUUCUGAAUUGUGGCAUUUGAGAUUGGGGCAUGUUAGUGAGAGGGGUUUAGUUGAACUAGCUAAACAAGGUUUGCUAGGGAAAGAUAAAUUGGACAAGCUAGAAUUUUGUGAACAUUGCAUACUAGGCAAACAACAUAGGGUGAAGUUUGGAAGUGGCAUGCAUCAUUCUAGUAGACCUUUUGAGUAUGUGCAUUCGGAUCUUUGGGGUCCUUCUAAGACUCCUACUCAUGGGGGAGGUUCCUAUUUUCUUUCUAUCAUUGAUGAUUAUUCUAGGAGAGUGUGGGUCUUUGUUUUGAAAAACAAAAGUGACACCUUUGAAAAGUUCAAAGAAUGGCACACUCUCAUAGAAAAUCAAAUGGGAACUAAACUAAAAGGUUUAAGAACUGACAAUGGCCUGGAGUUUGUUUCAGAGCAGUUUAAUGAGUUUUGCAGGUUGAAAGGAAUCAAGAGGCAUAGAACCGUACCAAGAACACUGCAACAAAAUGGCCUUGCGGAACGCAUGAAUAGGACACUUUUGGAGCGUGUGAGGUGUAUGAUUCUAGGAGCUGGGUUACCUAAGAGUUUCUGGGGUGAAGCCGUGACAACGGCUGCUUAUUUGAUCAAUAGAUGUCCAUCAACGGGAAUAGACUUCAAGACACCUAUGGAGGUAUGGAGUGGGAAACCGGCGAAUUACUCCUCUUUGAAGGUUUUCGGAGCUUUGGCAUAUGCGCAUAUCAAGCAAGACAAGCUUGAGCCUAGAGCUUUGAAAUGUGUCUUCAUUGGUUAUCCGGAAGGUGUGAAGGGAUACAAGUUGUGGAAAUUGGAAUCUAGUGGAAGAUCAAGAGUCUUGAUAAGUAGGGAUGUUACCUUUGAUGAGACCCGGAUGGGGAUGAAGUGUAAAGACUUAGAGACUCAAGUACCGGAAACUAUGGUGGAGAAAACUCAGUUUGAGGUGGAGCUUCCAAAUGAAGAAGAAGAAGAUGUAGAAGAUGAAGCUUCGACAUCGGAUACAAGUGGAACUCAACCGGUAGUGGAUCCUGAGUAUCUAUUGGCAAGAGAUAGAGAAAGAAGGACCAUUACGGCUCCUAAGAGAUUCGGUUAUGCGGACUUGGUGUGUUUUGCUCUAAAUGCGGCGGAAGAUGUGCAAGACUCGGAGCCUAGAAACUUCAAGGAGGCAUUUGAGAGCAAAGAGAGCAAGUAUUGGUUGAAGGCGGUGAAUGAAGAAAUGGAUUCAUUGGAAAGGAACCAAACUUGGAAACUUGUGAAACUACCUAAUCACCAAAGGGUAGUUGGAUGCAAGUGGAUCUUCAAGAAAAAGGAUGGCAUUCCGGGUGUUGAAGGUCCAAGGUAUAAAGCAAGACUUGUGGCAAAGGGUUUCACUCAAGUGUAGGGGAUCGACUACAACGAGAUCUUUUCACCGGUGGUGAAGCAUUGUUCCAUAAGGAUACUUAUGGCUAUAGUGAAUCAAUUCGAUCUUGAGUUGGAACAAAUGGAUGUGAAGACCGCUUUCUUACAUGGUGACCUUGAAGAGACAAUCUACAUGGAGCAACCGGAAGGUUUUGUGGAGGACAAGUCUAAGGUGUGUCUUUUGAAGAAAUCUUUGUAUGGGUUGAAGCAAAGCCCUAGGCAAUGGUAUCGUCGGUUUGAUGAGUUUCUUUUGAAGACCGGUUUUGUGAGAAGCGGAUAUGAUUCUUGUGUGUACAUGUUGAAGAAGAAUGAGAAAGUCAUUCUCUAUCUUCUUCUAUAUGUGGAUGAUAUCUUGAUGGCAAGCUCUAGCAAGGAUGAGAUUUUGAAGCUCAAGGAGAAGCUAAAUGGUGAAUUUGAGAUGAAGGAUCUUGGUCCGGCAAAGAGAGUUCUUGGGAUUGAUAUCAAGAGGAAUCGUGACAAAGGCGAACUUUUCUUAUCUCAACUUGGUUAUUUGAAGAAGGUGGUGGAGCGUUUUAGAAUGUCAAACUCUAAAACUGUGAGCACUCCCUUGGGUCACCACACAAAGUUGUCCAUAAAACAAUGUCCUCAAUCCGAGGAUGAGAAGCAUUUGAUGGAAGGUACUCCCUAUGCAAGUGGGGUUGGAAGCAUCAUGUAUGGAAUGGUUUGUAGUAGGCCGGACUUGGCUUAUGCGGUUAGCAUUGUGAGUCGGUUUAUGGCAAAUCCGGGAAUUGUGCAUUGGCAAGCUUUGAAGUGGGUUUUGAGGUAUUUGAAUGUGUCGUUGAAGGGCGGUUUGAAGUACACAAGGGCAGCUCAAGAUGAAGACGCUUUGGAGGGGUAUGCUGAUGCGGAUUAUGCGGGCAACGUAGACACUAGAAAAUCCUUGUCGGGUUUUGUGUUUACUCUUUAUGGCACGGCGAUUAGUUGGAAGGCAAAUCAACAAUCUGUGGUGGCAUUAUCUACAACUCAAGCGGAGUACAUCGCACUUGUUGAAGGUGUGAAGGAGGCCAUAUGGUUGAAAGGGAUGAUUGGUGAGUUAGGAAUUACUCAAGAAUGUGUGAGGAUGCAUUGUGAUAGUCAAAGUGCCAUUCACUUAGCAAAUCAUCAAGUGUAUCAUGAAAGGACAAAGCACAUUGACAUUCGCCUGCACUUUGUUAGAGACAUGAUUGAAUCAAAAGAGAUUGUGGUUGAGAAAGUGGCAUCGGAGGAAAAUCCGGCGGAUGUGUUCACCAAGUCAUUGCCUCGAUCAAGAUUCAAGCAUUGCUUGGACUUGAUCAAUUUUGUCGAAGAGUAAUUCCCUUUUGGAGAGAGCAGCAUGGUGGUUGAUGGUUAAAUUGACAUCACCACCAAAUUAGAAGUCAAGGUGGAGAAAUGUUGAAAAUUGGCUUCAAAUUUGUGGUUUGGGAGAAUAGAGGAAUCGUGUCACGAUUUGGCAAUCGUGACACGAUCGGAGAGGCAGUGAGCUAAGUUUGCUGGAAGCAAAAUCGUGCCACGAUCUUGGGAAAUCGUGACAUGAUUCAGAAACUUGCUGCUUAAGUUUCUCUGAUAAGGACUGGUCAACCUGGGGACCGUUGCAGAUCGUGACACGAUCUAGGGUAAUCGUGACACGAUUUCUUCAGGGCAGGACUUGUAUUUAAAGUGUUCUUGUGCUUUUUUGAAGACAACCUUGAGAGAGCUUAAGAGACAAAACUUGGAGAUCAAAGAUGGGAUCCUUUGGGGUGUGUUCCUUUGAUGAGAGUGUAUCUUAGGUUGGGAAAACAACAUUGUAAUCACCUUGGGAUUAUGGGUUCAUAGUGUGAGGAUGGGAAAAUGCCAAAGGGUAGAUCUAGAGUUUUUUGUCUUGUGUAAAGCUUGAUAAGCUAGAUUCUUGUAACUCUUUUGUAACACAUUCACAUAUUGGAUUGGAGAGCUGCUCUCUCCCCCAUAUUAGGCCACAUUGGCUGAACUGGGUCAACAAUCUUGCUCGGUGUUUGUUCGUUUUCUUUUAUCGUUUAUCUUGUAUGCUUGUUAGCUCUUAGUGUGGUUUUGCUUUACAUUAGGCUUAGGCUGUUUUGUUGUUGUUAGCUUGGAGGCCAUUUGCACUCAUAGAUUAUCUCUAUCACUUGCU
Molecule: long non-coding RNA, 5498 nt
Filed under: Medicago truncatula (barrel medic)
Lineage: Eukaryota; Viridiplantae; Streptophyta; Magnoliopsida; Fabales; Fabaceae
Description: long non-coding RNA (MTRU_LNC003480)
Source: RNAcentral